CCUACGUGAGGCAGCAGUGGGGAAUAUUGGACAAUGGGCGAAAGCCUGAUCCAGCAACGCCGCGUGAGGGAUGACGGCCUUCGGGUUGUAAACCUCUUUCAGCAGGGACGAAGCGCAAGUGACGGUACCUGCAGAAGAAGCACCGGCCAACUACGUGCCAGCAGCCGCGGUAAUACGUAGGGUGCGAGCGUUGUCCGGAAUUAUUGGGCGUAAAGGGCUCGUAGGCGGUUUGUCGCGUCGGGAGUGAAAACUCAGGGCUUAACCCUGAGCCUGCUUCCGAUACGGGCAGACUAGAGGUAUGCAGGGGAGAACGGAAUUCCUGGUGUAGCGGUGAAAUGCGCAGAUAUCAGGAGGAACACCGGUGGCGAAGGCGGUUCUCUGGGCAUUACCUGACGCUGAGGAGCGAAAGUGUGGGGAGCGAACAGGAUUAGAUACCCUAGUAGUC
RNAcentral lists this ribosomal RNA (445 nucleotides) under uncultured Nocardioidaceae bacterium. Its description in RNAcentral is "bacterial SSU rRNA". It matches the Rfam family "Bacterial small subunit ribosomal RNA", at positions 338 to 795 of the family's 1533-position model. The record is from RNAcentral. Lineage: Bacteria; Bacillati; Actinomycetota; Actinomycetes; Propionibacteriales; Nocardioidaceae.